UUAUCUUUCAUUUACCACAAUCAAUCAUCAUCGCACACACAUGUCAUCACAAGGACUUUUUCAAGGCUUAUAAUGUGGUUGGGCUAACAAGAAAAAUUGGUUUUUCUAGAUCACAAAAUCCUUGAGUUAAGAGAGUCAUUCAAACAUUCAUAGUUCAAGCACAAACUCUUUUUUUUACCAAUCUCACUCAUUCCCAACUUUCCCUUUUCUUUGCAUUGAGCUUUUCUUUUCAUUCUAUCUUUUCUAUCUUUUUCAUCUUUUUCAUGCUUUGCUCAUCACAUUAGCUCAAUGCUUAUCUUUUCUUUUUCAAUCUUCCCA
RNAcentral lists this long non-coding RNA (318 nucleotides) under Vigna radiata. Its description in RNAcentral is "long non-coding RNA (VRAD_LNC001791)". The record is from RNAcentral. Lineage: Eukaryota; Viridiplantae; Streptophyta; Magnoliopsida; Fabales; Fabaceae.